Molecule: signal recognition particle RNA, 265 nt
Filed under: Anaerolineae bacterium
Lineage: Bacteria; Bacillati; Chloroflexota; Anaerolineae
Also listed under: 1 other name
Description: signal recognition particle sRNA large type
Rfam family: Bacterial large signal recognition particle RNA
About the family: The signal recognition particle (SRP) is a universally conserved ribonucleoprotein involved in the co-translational targeting of proteins to membranes. Archaeal SRP consists of a 7S RNA and homologues of the eukaryotic SRP19 and SRP54 proteins.
Source: RNAcentral
UCGUGCUAGACGGGGCGCUAGCGGUGCCUUGAACCCGAAAUCCGCUCCAGGCGGGGUUGAAUUCCCCUUUGAGGGCCUUCGUCGUGCGGGGACUGCGGGGCCGGGCAGCGUUGAUGGUUGGGUCCUGUGCGGCGGGAGCCUGUGAAUUGUGUCAGGACCGAAAGGUAGCAGCACUAAGCGGUAUCUCCCGGGUGCCACGGGGUCGCCUGGCCUGAGCCAGCCAGUACCAGUAAGCUCGUAUGGCCGUUCGAGGAGGGGUGCACGA